RNAcentral lists this microRNA precursor (190 nucleotides) under Oryza sativa Japonica Group (Japanese rice). Its description in RNAcentral is "MIR812 microRNA precursor family". It matches the Rfam family "MIR812 microRNA precursor family". The record is from Rfam by way of RNAcentral. Lineage: Eukaryota; Viridiplantae; Streptophyta; Magnoliopsida; Poales; Poaceae.
AAUAAGUGCAGUUUUACACUAUUCAUCUUCAACGUUUGACCGUUCGUCUUAUUUGAAAUUUUUUUAUGAUUAUUAUUUUUAUUGUUAUUAGAUGAUAAAACAUGAAUAGUACUUUAUGUGUGACUAUUUUUUUUAAAAAAUAAGACGGACGAUCAAACGUUGAACACGGAUUUCGACGACUGCAUUUAUU